UACGUAGGUGGCAAGCGUUGUCCGGAAUUAUUGGGCGUAAAGCGCGCGCAGGCGGUCCUUUAAGUCUGAUGUGAAAUCUUGCGGCUCAACCGCAAGCGGCCAUUGGAAACUGGGGGACUUGAGUGCAGGAGAGGGAAGUGGAAUUCCACGUGUAGCGGUGAAAUGCGUAGAGAUGUGGAGGAACACCAGUGGCGAAGGCGGCUUCCUGGCCUGUAACUGACGCUGAGGCGCGAAAGCGUGGGGAGCAAACAGG
RNAcentral lists this ribosomal RNA (253 nucleotides) under uncultured bacterium. RNAcentral's name for it is "partial 16S ribosomal RNA". It matches the Rfam family "Bacterial small subunit ribosomal RNA", at positions 524 to 776 of the family's 1533-position model. The record is from RNAcentral.